This 495-nucleotide ribosomal RNA is filed under the name uncultured bacterium. RNAcentral describes it as "partial 16S ribosomal RNA". It matches the Rfam family "Bacterial small subunit ribosomal RNA", at positions 28 to 507 of the family's 1533-position model. The record is from RNAcentral.
GACGAACGCUGGCGGCGUGCCUAAUACAUGCAAGUAGAACGCUGAAGGAGGAGCUUGCUUCUCUGGAUGAGUUGCGAACGGGUGAGUAACGCGUAGGUGACCUGCCUGGUAGCGGGGGAUAACUAUUGGAAACGAUAGCUAAUACCGCAUAAGAGUAGAUGUUGCAUGACAUUUGCUUAAAAGGUGCAAUUGCAUCACUACCAGAUGGACCUGCGUUGUAUUAGCUAGUUGGUGGGGUAACGGCUUACCAAGGCGACGAUACAUAGCCGACCUGAGAGGGUGAUCGGCCACACUGGGACUGAGACACGGCCCAGACUCCUACGGGAGGCAGCAGUAGGGAAUCUUCGGCAAUGGACGGAAGUCUGACCGAGCAACGCCGCGUGAGUGAAGAAGGUUUUCGGAUCGUAAAGCUCUGUUGUAAGAGAAGAACGAGUGUGAGAGUGGAAAGUUCACACUGUGACGGUAUCUUACCAGAAAGGGACGGCUAACUACGUG